GGACAGGUAUCGAAGCGGUCAUAACGAGGCGGUCUUGAAAACCGUUGGGCAGCAAUGCCACCAGGGUUCGAAUCCCUGCCUGUCCG
This 86-nucleotide transfer RNA is filed under the name Lachnospiraceae bacterium. RNAcentral describes it as "tRNA-Ser". It matches the Rfam family "tRNA". Rfam says of the family: Transfer RNA (tRNA) molecules are approximately 80 nucleotides in length. Their secondary structure includes four short double-helical elements and three loops (D, anti-codon, and T loops). Lineage: Bacteria; Bacillati; Bacillota; Clostridia; Lachnospirales; Lachnospiraceae. The record is from RNAcentral.